Molecule: long non-coding RNA, 234 nt
Filed under: Dasypus novemcinctus (nine-banded armadillo)
Lineage: Eukaryota; Metazoa; Chordata; Mammalia; Cingulata; Dasypodidae
Description: lncRNA (ENSDNOG00000051426.1)
Source: RNAcentral
CGCGCGGCCCCAGGUGACCCGCCCCCGUCGCUCUAGCACCUGGGCCGGCCUCGGGGGCCGCGGGAGGACGGCAGGGAGUCCCCGGGAGGUCGGAGAUGGAGAACACUGGGAAUCACAUUACAGCAGAGAUUGUCACAAGAACCAGGAGGGGCAUUCGAGGUGAGUGGCAUCUCCAUGAGAGAAAGUGUUAUUUCUAUGAGAGUCUUAGGAGCUGUCACUGUGUGUGUGUAUAAA